Molecule: ribosomal RNA, 497 nt
Filed under: uncultured bacterium
Lineage: Bacteria
Description: partial 16S ribosomal RNA
Rfam family: Bacterial small subunit ribosomal RNA
Source: RNAcentral
GAUGAACGCUGGCGGCGUGCCUAAUACAUGCAAGUCGAGCGAACGGACGAGAAGCUUGCUUCUCUGAUGUUAGCGGCGGACGGGUGAGUAACACGUGGAUAACCUACCUAUAAGACUGGGAUAACUUCGGGAAACCGGAGCUAAUACCGGAUAAUAUUUUGAACCGCAUGGUUCAACAGUGAAAGACGGUCUUGCUGUCACUUAUAGAUGGAUCCGCGCUGCAUUAGCUAGUUGGUAAGGUAACGGCUUACCAAGGCAACGAUGCAUAGCCGACCUGAGAGGGUGAUCGGCCACACUGGAACUGAGACACGGUCCAGACUCCUACGGGAGGCAGCAGUAGGGAAUCUUCCGCAAUGGGCGAAAGCCUGACGGAGCAACGCCGCGUGAGUGAUGAAGGUCUUCGGAUCGUAAAACUCUGUUAUUAGGGAAGAACAAAUGUGUAAGUAACUGUGCACGUCUUGACGGUACCUAAUCAGAAAGCCACGGCUAACUACGUG